CUGAUUAUCUUGACCAGCCUCAUCUGGGACCUCCACCCUUGCUGCUGCCACCCAUAGGCCUGGGAGCCUCAUUUAAGCCCUGGCCCUUACUUGGCUUAUAGUGUGUGUGUGUGUGACACACAAGUACAUGGUUGCUUUACUUCUUGGGUAACAUCAGAGCUGUGUUGGAACUACAGAUUUCUCUGAGGCCUGUUGGAUGAAAAAAAGAUCCAGUCAUGGGACCCACUCUCCCCUUAAUGUUUAGAUGCAGCGGGACUGUGACCCUUUUCUAAGAUUCCUCUCUCAACCUGCCCUAUUGUCUGGCUUCUACCUCACCUUCCUGGAGAUGUCUAUCCUUACUUGCUUCCUGACAAGGAGUUUUCCAAGACUUUGAAAUUGCUCUAUUACCUGUAAGAGGCCAAAAUAAAACUACCUUCCAGCAUCUGCAAGAACUCUCCUGGCAGUCUCUGAAAACCAAGGAAAUUCAGGGGCACCUGACUAGUUGUGAUGCACAAUUGCCUUGGGAGCUGGUUUAGGAGGCACAGUGCUCCUCUGACCUGCCAGACAACAGCAGUUACUAUGUGGCUUCUUUUGCUUUGCUUCUAGAGGAGACCAGCUGGUAUUUACAGCAUUUUCUCUAAGCAAGGCAUCAUGCCUGAGGUACACUCAGGUGAGAGUACUUCAGGAAAUUCCCACUGGGAUGUGAGAGUAAAGGAUUUUAUUAUUAAAAAACCCAAACCAACAACAAAACCCACAAAAUCACAAAAUCCUGGAGGAAAUACCAUUUCCUUUCAAGUGAUUCUGUGAGGUAGAGACUGCAAGAGAAGUAAGGAAAGCAAGAGUUUUACUAGUUCAAAUACAAUCCCAUUUUUUUCAGGAAGAUAUUAAAAUAUUGCAUUUCAACGCAAACCCUUUUGGGGAAGGGUGGAAGCUGAAGCCUGUUUAAACAUAUAGCUGGUUUUAGCUGGGGUAGAGUUCAUUUCCCAGCCCAAACAGUGAAAAAAAGUUAAGAGAAGGGAACAAAGCAACCUACUUCUUAUUCCAGGGAGAAAGGAAGACAAAUGGUACACAUCAAGAGUAGGAAAACUUAGAAGUUUUUCCUAAGUUUGUUUGUUGUUUUGGGUUUUUUAACCUAAGAGAUAUAAAACAGAUGAAACUGAGCUGCCUAGAAUUCUGGGGAAUUCUGGAGUAGCUGGGCUGGGAACACAAAAGAGUUUGUAAAUUGCCUGAAGAGACACAUUUGCUUCUCUGGGGUACAAGUGAGGGAGAAAAAGGGCCUUUCUCCCAAUUCUGCCCUUGGUGGUGGUGUGCUGAAGGCACAAUUAGUGCCACUCAUGGCACAGCUAAAGCUAUAGACUGUCUAUACAGCAAAAAGAAAAAGAAAUAUUAAAUGCUUUUUUAUUUUCUCUAAGGAUAUGGUGGAACUAAGCCAAAAAUGUGUAUUUGUACUGCUCUGCCUAAGGCAGCAUAAGCACCUUCUCUGGUGAAUCACUAGGCCCCAAAGCUUUUGCUCCUCCUAAAUGAAUGCCAAGCAUCCUGGGGAAGUGCUGCCAGGUACAAGGACAUAGUGACACUGCUAGGCUAAUGCAUGAUGGCUGAGGGUCUGCAGGAUUCUGCCCCAAACUCCCUAGGAUGCUGUUUGGAAUCUAAUCCUCUGUAUCUGACUUUUUACUGUGCCCCAAUUCACAUCAGUUUUUCUGCUUAAUGCUAUUUUCUGAUCUUCUAUAAAGCAUUUUCCAAAUAUUUUCCCGGUAUCUUCCAUGAAGCUGGAGAAGUUUCUCGUUGUUCAGGGGCCCACAUAAGCAGGAUAGUGGCAGGUAGGUGCACAGGAUAUCUUUGGAGAUCAAGGAAAACAGAAGAUUGCUGCCACCAUGCUUCUAAGGACAAUUACACACAGAAAAGCUUGGAAAUGAAUAUUCUGCAAGAUGGAGAUAAAGGGUGCAAGGGCAAACCCACUCAGAUACCUCUGAGGCUUCCUUUGCAGCUACAACGGCCAUGUUGACAUGCACUAGGUUAAGACCAGACUCAACUGUUCUGAUGUUAAUUGCCUGGCUGCCUUAAUUGGAUAUAGACUGCUGGGUCCUGAAAUCAGCUGUGUGACACAACCAACUGAUAUUCACCUCUUCACUGCUUUAUCUUGCCCUGUGCUGCAGGGUCAGUGCACAUGUUCCUGUGCAUUAGAGUUGUCCACAGAACUGGUGGAUUAUUUUGCAAGAGAAGCAAGUAACAUUUCACAUCUGAAGGGGACUGUUCAGACUUUAAUUUCAGGCAAAGCUACUCUGGCCUAAGUUCAGUUUUUACUCCAAGGCACUGAUAACCAUCAUCAGCAAGCAGACAAUAAUCAUUGAGUUGUUGGGCUACUCACUGGAAGUGCAGUGACUGCAUUUGGAUGCCCAGUGGCCUCUGGUCAUGUGACAUUCAUGCAAUGCAGUCACUGUCCCUCUAGACUUGCAGAGGGGCACAGAGGUCUCAUGCUCUAAGGACACACAGAAUACCACAAAGUAGUGUUUUGAGCAUGGCUGAGGAUGAGGUAACUUUCUAAGAUGAGCCUUGGAAUACCAGGCUUCCUUCUGCAGUCCAUGCUGUGGGCUGACAUUCAGAGGGGUGCAGGACUGCUUAGUCCAACUUCUGCCUUUCUUCUUUGAAUCUCUCCUAUCCAAGAUUAUGUAGGAUAGGAACACCAUGGGGGACAGAAGACACCCAUACUGCUUCCAAGCACUGCACUGCCCUGUGAACUGACUUAGGUGGAGCACCACAUCUGCAGCCAGGCCCAGAAAACCACCAGCAGCUGGGAGCAGCUGGUUGUGUGGUGCAGAUAGCAAGUGGUUCCUGGCUGGGACUGGUCAUGCACUUGCACCAAUGCACUGGCACACCCAGCCUGGCUCCACUGAGCCAAGGGAGUCACUGAGCAUGUGGAGCAAAUUCCUGCUAAUGAGACUGCAGAUCAUCUUGCAGUCAUCCCUGCUACGAGCUGCAAGGCACUGUCUCAGCCUCCUGAUCUCAACCUCUGUUAGGGUUUUUUGUUAAGAGAACACAGGCUCAAUUUCUCAUCCCCACUAUAACUUCAGUGAUGUAAAAAAAGACAUUAAAUACUCAGAAUCAAGGAGUGCUGGGCCUUUUCCCAAAAAAGUGGAGCAGGAUCCCUCGAUAGGGUAUGGUCCCACAUAAGCAGCUUUGCUGUCAGGUUCCCUCACUGGAAGGAAUGCUAUGAGGAUAAGCAUCUUCCUGCUGCUGCACACCCCACAGCUACCUUGUGGCCAUCAGCCAUGCUCAGCAGGGAUGCAGGCAUGGGGACAGCAGGCUGGCUACUGACAAAGGCUUCCUGGACAGCUGUGUUGAAGUAGCACUGCUGGAAGACUGCCACUCUCCUCUUCUUGCAGGACAGUUCCCAUCGGUGAGGACCAUCCCUGUGUGCUGGGCCUAGGAGUAGGCUCAUCUGUGCCAAAUGAUCACUGAUCUGUCCUCACAGUCAGUACAUCAAACAGGAAGGCAGCUAGGAGACCUGGACAAUUGCAUACAGACAUGCAGUACUAUAGGCUAGUGUUUACCUUCAUUUACAUGGAUGUAAACAACCCACUCGGAAGCAACACCUGAUUUUUGGCUACUGCUGGUGUGAGGACGACACUGAAUGGGGUACAGAGCUACCAGGAGUGAAAUCAGCCCACCCCUCUUCAAGCCAUUUGCCGCAACACGAGGCAGGAUGAAUCAAUAAUAUGUAUCGAGCUGGGAAAGUUAAUCUGCAUCCAGAGCAUCAUAACAAAUUAAAAGGAAAUAAAAUCAGUACAAUUCCACUGGCUCUCAUUACUAUCACAGUGGAGAGUAAUUAAAAUCUAUGGGGCGAAUUCAACGCUGUAGGAACUCUCAUGAAGCCAAAGGCACUGUACAAGGGCAUUGCUUUUUCCAGAUGCUAUGUAUUUCCAACAGCAGCAGAAAUGGCAAAAUGGGCAGAGAGGAUAGGACAGGGUAAGAGCAGAACCUCCUUAGGAGCCAGGCAUUCUCCUGCUUGCUCUUCCUUAUGUAGUCAUGCUGCAUGCCUGCUGCUUUGGUGCUUCAUGUGCUUUCAAAAGGUCCAGGCAUUUGUAUGUGAGGCUCCCACUCAAGGGCUUCCCAAGCCAAUACGCACAACUGCCAUUCAUCAGCUCUGGCUGUCACCUCAUCCUGCCUGUUCCCUGCUUCCCUGUAUUACCUGCUGCCUUUGUGUGAACUCCUUUCUUCUCUGAACACCUAAGCACAGCCGCUCAUGAUACACACUCUCUUAAGUGCUAAAGAAAUGCAUUUCCUGCCACAGAGCACCUUCUGCUAUCCUGUUGCCUGAUAAGACUCUCAACCCAUCUUUCUGUGCUUUCCUAUAAACGCCUUAUCUUUUGACCCACACACAUCCCUGAUGAAGAAGCUGAAGGAGGACUACCACCUGUCCCAAAACCACAGUCACUUACACUCACAUUACAGCUCUGCUCCAGUCCUGUGUUACAGGACAGCUGAAGCUGUGCUAUAAGGCAGGAAUUCAACUUGAAGCAUCAUUCACUGCCCAAACUUUGAUUUCUUGACCUUGUGCAAGGCCCUGCUGCCCCACAGCCAAGGCACUGUCAUGACUCAGUUAAGCACCUGAUUCCCAUUGAGUGGAAGGAGAUGUGUGCAGCACAGGAAAAACAUUCCUCAUCACUGCAUACAGCAUUGUGUCUGGUGAGGCAGCAGUGCAGCUACCACACUGGCACCUAGAGAGGCAACUGAUGGUGACAGCCAGGGGCACAGGGCUGCAAAUGCAAAGCUUGGGUGAGUGGGUUCUGUCAGUCUUUAUAGGAGGUGAGAUACAGGUAGAAGAAUGUCUUUUAGGCAAAG
Molecule: long non-coding RNA, 4818 nt
Organism: Parus major (Great Tit)
Lineage: Eukaryota; Metazoa; Chordata; Aves; Passeriformes; Paridae
Exons: 3
Source: RefSeq, a predicted model, not a curated record